This 484-nucleotide ribosomal RNA is filed under the name uncultured bacterium. RNAcentral describes it as "partial 16S ribosomal RNA". It matches the Rfam family "Bacterial small subunit ribosomal RNA", at positions 29 to 507 of the family's 1533-position model. The record is from RNAcentral.
AUUGAACGCUGGCGGCAUGCUUUACACAUGCAAGUCGAACGGCAGCGCGGGCUUCGGCCUGGCGGCGAGUGGCGAACGGGUGAGUAAUACAUCGGAACGUGCCCAGUAGUGGGGGAUAGCUCGGCGAAAGCCGGAUUAAUACCGCAUACGACCUGAGGGUGAAAGCGGGGGAUCUUCGGACCUCGCGCUAUUGGAGCGGCCGAUGGCAGAUUAGCUAGUUGGUGGGGUAAAGGCCUACCAAGGCGACGAUCUGUAGCUGGUCUGAGAGGACGACCAGCCACACUGGGACUGAGACACGGCCCAGACUCCUACGGGAGGCAGCAGUGGGGAAUUUUGGACAAUGGGCGAAAGCCUGAUCCAGCAAUGCCGCGUGUGUGAUGAUGGCCUUCGGGUUGUAAAGCACUUUUGGCGGGAACGAAAAGGACUGUGCCAAUACCACGGUUCGAUGACGGUACCCGCAGAAUAAGCACCGGCUAACUACGUG